RNAcentral lists this ribosomal RNA (512 nucleotides) under uncultured bacterium. Its description in RNAcentral is "bacterial SSU rRNA". It matches the Rfam family "Bacterial small subunit ribosomal RNA", at positions 19 to 518 of the family's 1533-position model. The record is from RNAcentral.
CUGGCUCAGAACGAACGCUGGCGGCGCGCUUAAGCAUGCAAGUCGAAACGGCAAGAGGUAGCAAUACCUCCUAGAGUGGCGGACUGGUGAGUAACACGUGGGUGACAUACCCUUCAGAUGGGGAUAGCGUAUUAGAAAUAGUAGAUAAUACCGAAUACGAGCACAGGGGUUAGAGAUCUGUGAGGAAAGGAGCUAAGGCUCCGCUGAAGGAAUGGCCUGCGGCCCAUUAGCUAGUUGGUGAGGUAAGAGCCCACCAAGGCGAUGAUGGGUAUCCGGCCUUAGAGGGUGAACGGACACAUUGGGACUGAGAUACGGCCCAGACUCCUACGGGAGGCAGCAGCUAAGAAUAUUCCGCAAUGGACGAAAGUCUGACGGAGCGACGCCGCCGUGGAUGAAGAAGGCCGGAAGGUUGUAAAAUCCUUUUGAAACUGAAGAAUAAGCGUUGUAGGGAAUGACAGCGUGGUGACAGUAGGUUUUGAAUAAGCAACGGCUAAUUACGUGCCAGCCGCCGC